Non-coding RNA from Pelobates cultripes (western spadefoot toad), 263 nucleotides. The record is from the annotation of a GenBank genome assembly. Lineage: Eukaryota; Metazoa; Chordata; Amphibia; Anura; Pelobatidae.
CUUACACAAGCAUUUAUAAUGGACAUGGACUUUGUUUAGGACUAUAGAGCCAACUGAGGAAGCCACAAGAGGCGAAACACAUAUUGGCCAUAUUGAUACUGUAUUUUUCCAUUAUUUUAUAUACUUUUUAUGUUAUAGUAUUUAAUAAAUUUAGUUCUAUCAUCCUAUCCAUUGGAUCCUCUGCAAUUUAUUGGGAACCAACUUCUAUUUGGACACACCAACUAUCCACAGAAGGGUUAGGAUCACCCUGGAAUAGAUCAUGG